GACAGAGGGUGCAAACGUUGCUCGGAAUUACUGGGCGUAAAGCGCGCGUAGGCGGCUUUGUAAGUUAGAGGUGAAAGCCCGGAGCUCAACUCCGGAACUGCCUUUAAGACUGCAUCGCUUGAAUCCGGGAGAGGUGAGUGGAAUUCCGAGUGUAGAGGUGAAAUUCGUAGAUAUUCGGAAGAACACCAGUGGCGAAGGCGGCUCACUGGACCGGCAUUGACGCUGAGGUGACGAAAGCGUGGGGAGCAAACAGG
RNAcentral lists this ribosomal RNA (254 nucleotides) under uncultured bacterium. Its description in RNAcentral is "partial 16S ribosomal RNA". It matches the Rfam family "Bacterial small subunit ribosomal RNA", at positions 524 to 776 of the family's 1533-position model. The record is from RNAcentral.